AGUGAACGCUGGCGGUAGGCCUAACACAUGCAAGUCGAACGGCAGCACAGUAAGAGCUUGCUCUUACGGGUGGCGAGUGGCGGACGGGUGAGGAAUACAUCGGAAUCUACUUUUUCGUGGGGGAUAACGUAGGGAAACUUACGCUAAUACCGCAUACGACCUACGGGUGAAAGCAGGGGAUCUUCGGACCUUGCGCGAUUGAAUGAGCCGAUGUCGGAUUAGCUAGUUGGCGGGGUAAAGGCCCACCAAGGCGACGAUCCGUAGCUGGUCUGAGAGGAUGAUCGGCCACACUGGAACUGAGACACGGUCCAGACUCCUACGGGAGGCAGCAGUGGGGAAUAUUGGACAAUGGGCGCAAGCCUGAUCCAGCCAUACCACGUGGGUGAAGAAGGCCUUCGGGUUGUAAAGCCCUUUUGUUGGGAAAGAAAAGCAGCAGGUUAAUACCCCGCUGUUCUGACGGUACCCAAAGAAUAAGCACCGGCUAACUUCGUG
RNAcentral lists this ribosomal RNA (492 nucleotides) under uncultured bacterium. RNAcentral describes it as "partial 16S ribosomal RNA". It matches the Rfam family "Bacterial small subunit ribosomal RNA", at positions 29 to 507 of the family's 1533-position model. The record is from RNAcentral.